GUUCAGCUCCGUCCUCACCUUCGCUUUAGGGUUUCCGGGUUCGCGCAUAUCUAAAAUUGGGAGCAUUCUAGCAGCUGCAUCUUAUUCCAUUCUACUACAUUGCACCGAAGGAGUUUAUGCAUUUCAGGUAUUCAUGGUAUUUGGGAUUGUUUGAAGGCCAAAUGAGUGCAAAACAAGUUCCUUUGAUAAGGAUUUAGUUGGAUUGCUUUAGAUAAUCUCAAGCAAUUAACAAAUUUUGAAAUGGCAUCAAGUAUUUAUAUUCAUUUGUUGUACUAUUUGGACGUCUUAAAACAAGAGAUCAUUGAAGAGAAUUGUGUCAACAUCAACCACCAAAUCCAUUUCCUUUUCAAACUACAAUAAAAUUGGCACAAGACUUUUAUUGUUUUUAUGUUAA
This is a long non-coding RNA of Malania oleifera, 394 nucleotides long. RefSeq lists it as uncharacterized. The transcript is spliced from 3 exons. NCBI's taxonomy places the organism in Eukaryota, Viridiplantae, Streptophyta, Magnoliopsida, Santalales, Ximeniaceae. The record is from RefSeq and is a predicted model, not a curated record.